UACGGAGGGUGCAAGCGUUAUCCGGAUUCACUGGGUUUAAAGGGUGCGUAGGUGGCUUUGUAAGUCAGUGGUGAAAUCUCGGAGCUUAACUCCGCAACUGCCAUUGAUACUGCUUAGCUUGAAUCAAGUAGAGGUGGAUGGAAUAUUACAUGUAGCGGUGAAAUGCUUAGAUAUGUAAUAGAACACCGAUUGCGAAGGCAGUUCACUAUGCUUGUAUUGACACUGAGGCACGAAAGCGUGGGGAGCAAACAGG
Molecule: ribosomal RNA, 253 nt
Filed under: uncultured bacterium
Lineage: Bacteria
Description: partial 16S ribosomal RNA
Rfam family: Bacterial small subunit ribosomal RNA
Source: RNAcentral